This 70-nucleotide transfer RNA is filed under the name Phrynosoma platyrhinos (Desert horned lizard). RNAcentral's name for it is "tRNA-OTHER". The record is from RNAcentral. Lineage: Eukaryota; Metazoa; Chordata; Lepidosauria; Squamata; Phrynosomatidae.
GCCAGCAUGGCGUAGUGGUUAGAGUGUUAGAUUGUGACUCUGGAGAUCAGGGUUCGAUUCCUACUUAGCC